GACGAACGCUGGCGGCGUGCUUAACACAUGCAAGUCGAACGGAAAGGCCCUGCUUUUGUGGGGUGCUCGAGUGGCGAACGGGUGAGUAACACGUGAGUAACCUGCCCUUGACUUUGGGAUAACUUCAGGAAACUGGGGCUAAUACCGGAUAGGAGCUCCUGCUGCAUGGUGGGGGUUGGAAAGUUUCGGCGGUUGGGGAUGGACUCGCGGCUUAUCAGCUUGUGGGUGGGGUAGUGGCUUACCAAGGCUUUGACGGGUAGCCGGCCUGAGAGGGUGACCGGCCACAUUGGGACUGAGAUACGGCCCAGACUCCUACGGGAGGCAGCAGUGGGGAAUAUUGCACAAUGGGCGGAAGCCUGAUGCAGCAACGCCGCGUGCUGGAUGACGGCCUUCGGGUUGUAAACCGCUUUCGCCUGUGACGAAGCGUGAGUGACGGUAAUGGGUAAAGAAGCACCGGCUAACUACGUG
This 468-nucleotide ribosomal RNA is filed under the name uncultured bacterium. RNAcentral's name for it is "partial 16S ribosomal RNA". It matches the Rfam family "Bacterial small subunit ribosomal RNA", at positions 28 to 507 of the family's 1533-position model. The record is from RNAcentral.